UUAAAUGAUAUACCCUUUUUGAACCUUGGCCUUAAACAGUAUGAAAACCCUUGUUUGAAUUGAAUUACCUUGAGUUGGGUUGAGAAUAAUUGUAUGUGUUGAAAAGGUUCAAGUUUGGGGUUAUAUGGGGAAAGUGAAAGGCAAAAGAAAAAGCAUUGAGUUCAAAAGUUGAAAAAGUAACAUGCAUGAGAAAGAAAGGAAAAGAAGAAAAGAGAAAAAGCAUGUAGUGAACUCAAUGUAAAAAGAGGAAAAAAGGAAGAAGUUGGGAAUGAGUGAGAUUGGUUAAAAAGAGAGUGUGCUUGAACUUUGAAUGAUAAUUUAAACUCUCUUAACUCAAGGAUUUUGUAUUCCAAAAAAACUAAUUUUUCUUGAUAGCCCAGCCUCAUUAUAAGCCUUGGAAAAAGUCCUUGCGAUGGCAUUUGCAUAUGAAGAUUUUGAUUCAUUUAGAUGAAUGGCAAUAUUGUUUUAUGUGACAUGUGAACGGUAGAGAGUAGAGUGACCUCCUAAACACUUGAGCGAUUGAGUGAAACACUUGCUUGUUGAGAAUUGUUAAAUCCAUGUUACAUCUAUGAUUAGUUGAUUAAUAACUCAUGAAUAAAAUAUCUGUUGGAAAAAAAAUAUUGAUUAC
RNAcentral lists this long non-coding RNA (628 nucleotides) under Vigna radiata. RNAcentral's name for it is "long non-coding RNA (VRAD_LNC001053)". The record is from RNAcentral. Lineage: Eukaryota; Viridiplantae; Streptophyta; Magnoliopsida; Fabales; Fabaceae.